Molecule: ribosomal RNA, 449 nt
Filed under: uncultured bacterium
Lineage: Bacteria
Description: partial 16S ribosomal RNA
Rfam family: Bacterial small subunit ribosomal RNA
Source: RNAcentral
AACGAACGCUGGCGGCAUGCCUAACACAUGCAAGUCGAACGAGAUCUUCGGGUCUAGUGGCGCACGGGUGCGUAACGCGGGGGAAUCUGCCCUUUGGUUCGGAAUAACAGUUGGAAACGACUGCUAAUACCGGUUGAUGACGAAAGUCCAAAGAUUUAUCGCCAGAGGAUGAGCUCGCGUAGGAUUAGCUAGUUGGUGUGGUAAAGGCGCACCAAGGCGACGAUCCUUAGAUGGUCUGAGAGGAUGACCAGCCACAAUGGGACUGAGACACGGCCCAGACUCCUACGGGAGGCAGCAGUGGGGAAUAUUGGACAAUGGGCGAAAGCCUGAUCCAGCAAUGCCGCGUGAGUGAUGAAGGCCUUAGGGUUGUAAAGCUCUUUUACCCGGGAUGAUAAUGACAGUACCGGGAGAAUAAGCUCCGGCUAACUCCGUGCCAGCCGCCGCAGUAA